GCAUUCGAUACGGGCGAGCUUGAGUAUGGUAGGGGAGUCUGGAAUUCCUGGUGUAGCGGUGGAAUGCGCAGAUAUCAGGAGGAACACCAAUGGCGAAGGCAGGACUCUGGGCCAUUACUGACACUGAGGAGCGAAAGCGUGGGGAGCGAACAGGAUUAGAUACCCUGGUAGUCCACGCCGUAAACGGUGGGCACUAGUUGUGGGGACCUUCCACGGUCUCUGCGACGCAGCUAACGCAUUAAGUGCCCCGCCUGGGGAGUACGAUCGCAAGAUUAAAACUCAAAGGAAUUGACGGGGCCCCGCACAAGCAGCGGAGCAUGCGGCUUAAUUCGACGCAACGCGAAGAACCUUACCAAGGCUUGACAUAUACAGGAAUAUGGCAGAGAUGUCAUAGCCGCAAGGUCUGUAUACAGGUGGUGCAUGGUUGUCGUCAGCUCGUGUCGUGAGAUGUUGGGUUAAGUCCCGCAACGAGCGCAACCCUCGUUCUGUGUUGCCAGCAUUAAGUUGGGGACUCACAGGAGACUGCCGGGGUUAACUCGGAGGAAGGUGGGGAUGACGUCAAAUCAUCAUGCCCCUUAUGUCUUGGGCUGCACGCAUGCUACAAUGGCUGGUACAAACGGCUGCGAUACCGCAAGGUGGAGCGAAUCCGAUAAAGCCAGUCUCAGUUCGGAUUGGGGUCUGCAACUCGACCCCAUGAAGUCGGAGUUGCUAGUAAUCGUAGAUCAGCAACGCUACGGUGAAUACGUUCCCGGGGCUUGUACACACCGCCCGUCACGUCACGAAAGUCGGUAACACCCGAAGUCAGUGGCCCAACCGCAAGGAGGGAGCUGCCGAAGGUGGGAUCGGUGAUUGGGACGAAGUCGUAACAAGGUAACCGUA
Molecule: ribosomal RNA, 879 nt
Filed under: uncultured bacterium
Lineage: Bacteria
Description: bacterial SSU rRNA
Rfam family: Bacterial small subunit ribosomal RNA
Source: RNAcentral